UGGACUCCUCUGUCUUAUGCUUUUUGAUCUAUUCUCUGCUGCCACAUCAUGGGGAAAAGAGAUUAUAUUCCCCCCUUGUCCAAACUGUUUCCUAAAUGUUGGACAUCUGUACUGGUUUGGUUUUCACCUGUGAAAUGAGUGGUGUUGAUCGUGCAUAAGUGAGAGUCUAUGUUAUAUCAGAAUUGAGACAGUGCUUCAUCCAUCUUUAUAUCUCCAGCACAUGUCAGGAACAGAAUGGGUGCUCAAUUCAGUUUGAUGAGUGAAACUUGGCAUUGAGCGGACCACCUUAUGGAUUAUUUCCUUUAAUCUUUCAGUAGACCUACGAAGUAAGCACAGAUGAGGCAGCAAGC
Molecule: long non-coding RNA, 350 nt
Organism: Rhinolophus ferrumequinum (greater horseshoe bat)
Lineage: Eukaryota; Metazoa; Chordata; Mammalia; Chiroptera; Rhinolophidae
Exons: 4
Source: RefSeq, a predicted model, not a curated record